UGGGGAAUAUUGGACAAUGGGCGCAAGCCUGAUCCAGCCAUGCCGCGUGAGUGAUGAAGGCCUUAGGGUUGUAAAGCUCUUUUGUCCGGGACGAUAAUGACGGUACCGGAAGAAUAAGCCCCGGCUAACUUCGUGCCAGCAGCCGCGGUAAUACGAAGGGGGCUAGCGUUGCUCGGAAUCACUGGGCGUAAAGGGCGCGUAGGCGGCCGAUUAAGUCGGGGGUGAAAGCCUGUGGCUCAACCACAGAAUUGCCUUCGAUACUGGUUGGCUUGAGACCGGAAGA
This 283-nucleotide ribosomal RNA is filed under the name uncultured Methylobacterium sp. Its description in RNAcentral is "partial 16S ribosomal RNA". It matches the Rfam family "Bacterial small subunit ribosomal RNA", at positions 355 to 655 of the family's 1533-position model. Lineage: Bacteria; Pseudomonadati; Pseudomonadota; Alphaproteobacteria; Hyphomicrobiales; Methylobacteriaceae. The record is from RNAcentral.